AGUUGCUCGGCGGGCGCCAUCUUUCUCGCGGCGCGGGCGGCGCCCUCCGAGGACAUCUCGAUGACCAGGGCGCCGCGAGGCCCGGGGCUAGCGGGAGCCGAGAGCAGGGUGCUGAAUUCUGGAGAUGGGACUGGGGUCGCGCGGCCUUCUCCUUCCCCACGCCCCCAGACCCAAAAGACGAGGCCGCCGGCUCGGAGCGGGAAGGGCUGGGGCCAGCUUCUUCCUCCUAACCACUUGUUUGUGAUGGAAGAAGGGGGCUGGGGGUCGAGCCUCGCGGCUGAUGGGUUCCCUCCCUGACCCCGCACCCCCACUCCUCCCAGUCGAAAUUGGAGGUGAGGCGCUCCUGCCAUUUUCUCUCCUGCGGUCUGAGAGUGGACGUCUUUGUCUUCUCUGGCCCGGCGUGGGGGCAGGGCAUUGAGCCUUUUCCUUAAUUCUUCAGUUAUUGAAAGUAGAGUCCAACCAGGUUACAAAACUAAAAAAAAGAGUCCAGGACAUUGUCUGUCUGCCUUCCGGUAGCAUGGUUCUCUGUGGGUACCCUACGCUUCGUUUCUUAGUUUUACUCUAAAACAACCCUGAGGAGACAUUUACUAGUUGUCAGAUUACGGGAAGGUGAUGGGUUCCAGUUUUUUGAAACUUUUUUUGUUGGCUUUCAUAUUACUUCAAAUGGCAGUGAAUUAAAACAGUUUCUUAGAACUCUAAUCUGAAAAGUUAAAUACGCUUUAAAACAGUCUGAAACUCUUCUAAAAAGCAAAACUGCAUUAUUAAAAGCAUCCAUGUAAGUAUCUGUUGGUAGUAUCUAUUAGAGAUGGGGGAGGGGUUUAACUUUUACAUUAUUAUUGAAAAGAGGAGGGGAAAGGUCUAUAAAGCUCUGAUCUCUCUAGAAGUCCACAUACAUGGAAAGUAAAUAGUUAAUUUCUAGUGUAGAAAAAUAACACCGUGGUGCCAGUAGGUGUGUCCUUGUGUUUAUAAAUAUACAUAGUGGAUGUUUUAGACCAUUUAAUGAGACCUAUUAUAUAUUGAAUACCUGCUGUAUGCCAGGAACUGUGCCUGAUGCUUUGUAUAAUUUCUAUUAUAUCAGCCCAGAAAUAGUGAUUUUAUGAUCUGUCUACCGGGGAAUGAACUAACGUUCAUAGAAGUAUAGUAAUUGUUCGAGGUCUUGCAGUUUUAAGUAGUAAAGUUGCCAUUGGAUCACAAAAGCUGUAUUCUUCCCCCUACACCUAUGGUUUCCAAAUGUGAGCAUCAGAAUUAAUUUGGGAGAUGUUUUUAAAUAGAGAUUUGUAACAUCACCUCUUCCACCAUCAUUUGCUAGGGCCAACUGGGUCUUUUAAUAAUGUGUCAGGCACUCCAACUUCUUGAUGUUCAAUAUUGACAUUCUGGCCCACCCUGCACCCGCUAUAUCCAAAGAUCUAGUAUUCCAAAGCUCUCCAGGUGAUUCCAGUGACACAGACACACGUUUGGACUGUCUUGUACUAUGCUAUGCACUGUUCUGCUCUUUUUUGAAUUGGAACAUGAGAAUUGAGGUCCAUGUAAUUUUGAGUUUCAGUAGUUUUUUGCUCACAUUAGUCUCAUUUUUGUUUUUCCUCUUGUAGCUGCCAUUUAUCAAAUCGAAAUUAUUUCCUCAGAGAAAAAGGUUUAGGUAUCCUAAGACUUUAAAAUCUCAGUACGUUUUUUUUUAAAGUAUGUUGUCUCAUUCUAUUGAGAAGUUAUACAACAUACAGGCUUCUAGGUCUAGCCAGGCCAUCUAGUUUAGUCAAGACAGCUGUGUAACAAACGUAGCCUUGAGGCCUGGCACGGUGGCUCAUGCCUGUAAUCCCAGCACUUUUGAGGCUGAGGCGGUCUUCCCACCUUUCCCUCCCAAAGUGCUGGGAUUACAGGCGUGAGCCACUGCAUCCUGCCGAGAAAAUCAUUUUUUAUUUAAAUAAUGUCAAAUGGAAGUAUGUAGCACCCCCCCCCCACCUUCUUUUCCCCUUUCUUUCCUCUUUGAGUCUGCUGUCAUUCCCUUUUUCAUGAGUUUUCUCUGCUCCCCAAAUAGGCUAAACAAUAACCGUAAAGUGAGAUUAGAGAAAAUAAGAAUGGAGUAGAUGAUGGAAUUCAAAAUAGCUGUCUACAUUCUUCACUGAGAAAGAUAGCUUUGAGUUAAAGGUGAGAGGAGCAAAUCUGGGGAAAAACGGGUGAAACGGCAUGAUUUAAGUAGCAUACCAGAUGCGUUUCUGCAUGGCAUGGCUCUUGCUUGAUGAAUAAUGUUCUGUAUAGUAGAAGAGGAAAAUACAGUGAGUGAAGGAGCUGGCAGAAGGUGGGCUGGGGGAGUUGGGGAAGAGUGAAAUGAGUAUGGAGAGGUGAGAGAGCUGACUGCAAAGGCAUGUGGGGUGUGGAUUUUAAAAGGAAAGCCCUGAGGUGGAAAUCACUAACAUGGUGCCUGGCUACAAGCAGAGGGAGCUCAGGACUUGACUGUGCUGGGGGUGGCCUGCCCUUUUGUAGUGCAGUUGAGGAGAGCUCAGGGGCUGUCAGAAUGCUGUGUGGGAAGGUGGAGGAUGAAAGAGGACCUGGGAGCAGCAACUUUGUUCUGGUUUGUUGUUUUCUCUUCCCUACCUCGUAUGUACUCCCACUCAGGAAAAGAUCCUGAGACCUCUCUGUACCAGAUCCUCUUAUACCCAGGUUCUCCUUAAUCCCAAUCAACUUUAAUCUAUAAAGUUACGAUUUGUUUACUUAUAAAUUUAUUUUUAAUAAAGUUGUGAAACCGAACA
Homo sapiens (human) is the source of this 2744-nucleotide long non-coding RNA. RefSeq lists it as uncharacterized. Lineage: Eukaryota; Metazoa; Chordata; Mammalia; Primates; Hominidae. The record is from RefSeq and is marked validated. The transcript is spliced from 2 exons.